UUCGCUCGGGCCGAGUCCGACAUGGCGGCCCCGCCACCGCCCCCCGGCGGCCGUUACCGCCGCCCGCGCGGCGCGAGGGCAGGGCGGGAAAGCCGCUGAGGGCUGAGGGGCAGCGGCGUGACCGGGGCGGGCAAGCUGCUCGGUAAAUAAAGGCACCGGGGACGGGAGGGCGACACGGCAGGAAAAAACAUCCCCUAAAGCACCUGUCUUCAGAAGCAGCAACCGGCGGGUUUCAGGCGAGAGGCUGGGAGCCCUUCCUGCCCUCCGUGAAGAAAGCGAGCAGCCCCGGGGGCAGAGUACAAAAAUAACACCCAGGGAAAACAGUCUUUCUGCAAGUAUCUGUGGACUUACACAGCAGUUUCAAGCAUAGCCGCACUGAGGAAUGCAAGAGCACCUUCCACACCGCUUUGAGGAAAAAGGAAGAGACAGGUAAAACGACAAUUCACCAGUUCACACAAGGAGGAGGAGUACAGAAGAUGGUAGGAAAACAGGUACAGCAUCAUGAUCAGUUCCACAGAAUGCAAUGAUUUUACCUUGGCACUGGAGGAAGGGCACGAGGCGGGCACUGAAAGACAAGAGUGACAAAAGUCAACUUCUGUCAGUAUGAAACCACCUCUCAGAAAACAGCUUCAGAUCAGAACAUCCAAGGGAGCAAAACAACUACAAAUCUGAGGGAAAGAGAGUGAGGAACUUAACUUGCCACAAGCAUUUUACCCUUUGAUGAGGAGAGAAUGCUACCACAGACCAAAGCAACAAGAGAAAGGGUUUCUGACGAUUUUCCUCUUUGGGUGUUCUGAGACUGCUAACAGAAGGACAGAAUUCUCAACUAAUAGGGCUUGGAGGAGGAAGAAAUCCCAUGCUACAGCUCUCCAUGUGAAAGACUAAUCCUUAUUUUAACCAUGCCCACAAUCAGGAAUCCAGAAGCAGCUUUCCUCUGUACCACAUCAACUCCUACAGGCAUUGGGGAUUCAGGCCUCCACAUUACCGAAGGUAAUCCAAUUAUCUGCUGACAUCAGUGCAGCCCCUGCUGUCACAGCUUGCACAGGUAUAACUGAUAAGGAUUGGAUAAAUAGAUCUGCUACUGAUGCACGAGAAGAAACAUUCACACUUGUGGGAUAAGAGGACAGAAACCUUACUAUUAAGGUAAUCAGAGAACAAGAGGAAGACUUAAAGCAACAAGAUUUUACAUAAUGGCUCUUCAAGCCAGAAUGGCUUCUGAAGCUAAAGUGGCAUUUUGGUUUUUGCCACCUGCUUGUUUGCAAGACACUCGCUUGUCUCUGGACACCCUUCUCGCAGCAGAACAAUAGCAAGGAAUUUAGAAUUAGGUCAGAGGAACUUACCUGACUCAAAUGUUUCUUCAUCUUGUUUAGUAAUCCAGACAGCAAAGAUAUUAAAAUAAAUUCAAAAUUUAAUUCUUUUCCUUCUAAUGGAUUUCAGAAUCAGAAAUCAGUUUUCCAGCUUCUGUCGGUCUCAUAUAUACUCACAUAUACUUCCCCCAGCUCCCUCUACCCUGAGGUGGCAAAAUACAGCUCACCGUACUUGAAUUAACUGCUUCAUCUCUUUUAACACAGCCCUACAAGAUCCCAUCCCUCCAUGAGAGCUUCUGAAUUACCUUGAAGAAGGAAGAAUGAACUGCACUGCUUUAGGGAGCAACUCAAGCUACCAAUCUUCACACUUAGUGUUCACAAGUAAAAACCUAUUCUUGCUCCUUGUUGUCCCAAGAUCAGUAUCUUGACAAUGAAUUGUGUGGGCUCUCCAUGACCACAAAAAUAUGUGGCAUUAAACAUACAGUAGGCAAAAAACUAUGGUAACAUUACAGCCACUAUCCGACACCUGAAUCAAAGAGGUUGGAUCUCAUUCAAGCAGAUAUUUUUGUGCUGGUCAAAACACUUGACUAUAAGCACUGUACGCCAGAACUGCAAACAGCUCAUUUUAAUACACUAAUACUAGAUGAGGUUUCCAGGGUAUGAAAAACAGAAUUUUCUACCAUUAAGUUCACUAGGAGGAUGGGUGGUUUUAUCUAGCAAAUGAGGCUUUUAACUAGCUACUGCCUUGAGGCAAAUAAAAUAAUCACAAGUGAAUUCAGUUACCUGUUUCCACACACUUUUCGUCAAUCUGCAUGUCGUCCUCUACAGAUUAACACAAGGGAAAAAAAUUCAUCUGAAUCAGAAAAACACUGAGGAGGAAAAACAGCCUUACAGAUCUUACAAGACUGAACUCAGACAUCAGAAAUAAGAUAUGUGAAACUCAGAUUGCCUUUAGACAUCUUAAAGGAUUUUAACUGUUAACUCCAAUUUACUGAUGUUCCUUGUCUACAGUGAGCAAAAAUCUCUUCUUAAGUGAGUGCUCUGAAGGGCUUGUGGCAGAGAGGCAAAUGCAUCUAACGAAUUCUCCUCUUGAAAUAAUGAAAGGUUUAACAUGGCUGUCAAUCUGUUUAUCCAGUAGAUAUCUAUUUAUUAAGUAUUACCAUGAGGGAAUAGAAUUUUCUGUCCUAUAGCUUUUAAAUAUCUUUCCAACAUGCUAUACUCAAGGAAAGUGUUUUGCUUGGUUGAUUGUAUUAUUAUUUUUACAAGGAAGAAAAGGAAAAGAUCAAUUCAGCUCUCUCUCAAUCCUGAGACCACAUCAAUUUUUGUCCCUGAAAUGCGAUCACAUGAGCUUGGGCAAUCUCAUAGACUCACAAUACUGCACUGUUUGUGUUUUGUUCUUGCACGCCCUUCCAGAGAGGCCCAAUAGCAGCUAUUUUCCAGUUACAGGGCAAUUUUCAGAGUAUCUGUCAAUCACAUUCUGCCCAUAUGUAUCCUUUAAAGAAAUACUCUCUUGGAGCUGCUCCAGGAGAGAAAGAGGGAGAAGAAAAGAGAAAGAGGAAACGUUGUCUUUCUUUCCUCAAAGAACCCAUCCAAACGGUCACUUCCCUGACAGAUAAUGCGCAGCUAAAGUUUUUGCUUUAAGACAAUGCAUGCAUCUACUACUUUACUACUUCAGGUGAAAAAAGGCUGGAUUUCAAUUAUGUUAAGCACACAAAAUGCCAAGAACUUGGGCUUCUUCUGCAUGUAUUUAUCAAAAUGCCUCAUUUCCGAAAACUUUUUAAAAAGUCUGUAAAACCAUGUGUUAAUAUAUUGGUUCCGGGUACAGAAAUGCAAUGCUGUCCAGAUGUGAUUUCCUACCUUCGUCCACAGUGCUUACUGCUCACAGCAUAUCCAUUGAAGCAGUUAAAAUGCAAUAAAAUUAUGGUGAAAGAGAGCCUCAGCUCUAGCAAACAAAGCAAUCAGUGCGAGAAGAAUCCUAGGGAAUGAAACACAUUCCCUCUGGGAUUUAUCAUAAGAGAAAAAUUUUAUACUUGCAUAAAGAACCAUAGAAGAAAACAGGGAGAGAGGAAACAGGAAGAACAUUCUUUUUCUGGGAAUAAUUGCAUAUUUAGAAAGUUAUAGUUGGCAGAGGAUAACAUUUCUGGAUUGUUACCAUGAAUAAAUUAAAGGACAGCAUAGCUUAUCUUAGGCCUCAAGAAAAGAAGUUCUAUCUUUCUCUCAAUAGCUUUGGUGGCAAAGAAACAUUCUAAACACUGUAUGGCACUUUUUCAGUGCAGAGCUGGUAUCUGUGUCCCUGGAAAGCCAGGCCAGUACAAUUGUCACUUCAAGACUUAGAGCCAAUUCUCCUGGAGAGAACUGGCUGACCUAGUGAGCUCCUAGAUUGUAGAGACUUUAGAAGAGGUUGAAUUCACAGCUUCUCUUAUGGUCAGAUCCCAAGUAUGCUGGAGACAACCGUCUCCACCAUCAGUACUCCAGGUACAAUUAUCAUCAAGUAUUUGUUUUUCUAGGGAUAGUUAACACACUUCUAAGGCUACAAUAUGGCUCCAGACACAAUGUCUUUGAAUUAAGCUGAAUUGUAUAAGCUUCUAUUUCAGUAUGCCUGAAACAGAGACAAGAUCUUUCUUUCCUACUGUAUUACUCAAGUAAUUUUUCACUCACACAUUGAUGAUUUGAGACAGAGAUGGGGCUGGAAGGGCUGAGACCACCAGAAUUCUCGCUGCUUCCUACAUAGAAAUAAAUUUAUCACAGUUAAAGAAACAAAACAGUCCACAAGCACAUUAUGCUCCAGUCAGAUUCACUGUUUACAUGUAAGAUCAAUCAGUACUGAACUGAGAGAAGACAGCAAGAACUGAAACAUUACCAAUGUUUUAGCCCACUGCAAAGUCCUGAAAGAAAACCAACAUGCUAUCAGAACUAUUUUGAAUUUCCAAAUCAUCAGCCCAGAAGUAUUAAGAGUUUAUGUAAAAGUACAGGAAGAUAAGCCAUAGCAUGGUACAGACUCCCGGAAGUAGAAGAGUGUGCUACUGCUAGGGGUAGUAGUACUACUGCCUCCAUUACUACACAGAGCCUCUUGCUUGCAGCCUGAGUCACAAUCCAGUUUGAUUUCAACCUGCAUUAUACAGACCACAGGUAGGUUUAUACAUAUAUUGCAAAGUGAAGUUUAUCAUCUGCUAUUGCAUGGCCUUUUGUUAUCCUGAGGGUACCACAGGACAUGUGGUUAAAGGAUCAAAUUGAAAAGUUUGCUGCUACAGCAGUGUAAGAACUCUGAUUCUGAAAGCAUGUAAUGUAAAAAUAAUGGUCUAUUAAUGCAGAAAAUAAUAAGCAAGAGAUCCUUGUUC
This is a long non-coding RNA of Corvus hawaiiensis (hawaiian crow), 4645 nucleotides long. RefSeq lists it as uncharacterized. NCBI's taxonomy places the organism in Eukaryota, Metazoa, Chordata, Aves, Passeriformes, Corvidae. The record is from RefSeq and is a predicted model, not a curated record. The transcript is spliced from 6 exons.